UACGAAGGGGGCUAGCGUUGUUCGGAAUUACUGGGCGUAAAGCGCGCGCAGGCGGUUCGAUAAGUUGGGGGUGAAAUCCCCGGGCUCAACCCGGGAAUGGCCUUCAAGACUGUCGAUCUAGAGGACGAGAGAGGUGAGUGGAAUUCCCAGUGUAGAGGUGAAAUUCGUAGAUAUUGGGAAGAACACCGGUGGCGAAGGCGGCUCACUGGCUCGUUUCUGACGCUGAGGCGCGAAAGCGUGGGGAGCAAACAGG
This 253-nucleotide non-coding RNA is filed under the name uncultured bacterium. Its description in RNAcentral is "partial 16S ribosomal RNA". It matches the Rfam family "Bacterial small subunit ribosomal RNA", at positions 524 to 776 of the family's 1533-position model. The record is from RNAcentral. RNAcentral also lists the same sequence under 1 other name.